GUUCUUGGUUCACCAUGGAGAUAAUGGAUUCAAAACCAUGGAAGGUGAAGGACACACAGGACUCUCAUCCUCUGGUGUUUCACUGCCCGCCGCCCUGGACAAGUACAAGAGCAUCUAUCGGAAGGACUUCUGCUGGCACGACGAUUAUCACUCACCCAUCCAGGCGCACGUACCGACACCUUCGUACCCUCCUCUGGAAGCCCUUCCCCAGUGCUACCUGCCCGAGUGCCAGCCCUCUGACCUGAGCCCGGGGCGGGCGGCGAAACUGGAGAUCCUCGCAGAGCCGAUGCACGACCUGUGCUGCUGCUCGCCCCUUCCAGCUCCUGCUCUGACAUGUGGAACUGAGGGGGAACUGGUGCCAGGGGAGCUGCCAUCUCCUAACUUGGUCACCUACCAGCAGUUCGCCCAGGAUUUGUACAAUGAAGUGCUGCUCAAUGCUGAUAAAUACAAAACCAAGAACAGGAACUCAUCUGUUUUAAUACGAGACGACUCUGACCUUGAGUGGAAAAGUAUCUACAAGCAAGAUUUCGAGCCCCGGAGAGGAAUCCCUGCUGGAUUGUACACAGAGGAGAUAAGGCCUUCUCCUGUUUUCCCUGAAGAUAACCGCUACAAUGAGAGCCGCUGGGUUUCUGAGUAUGCAGACAGCUACAGCAUCUUCCUGAAGAAGCUGGACUGGUCCUCCCCCAUCUCUGCACAGUGGCUGCCCUUUGGCAAGGACGUGCGAUGGACGCCGCGAUGGAAAUUGGUCGGUAACUGAGCAGUGCCAAGGUGGCUGAGCUCUUUGGCCCUCCAAGCUGCCUGUGUGAUACUGCUCAUCAGAAACCCUGAAAGCCUUAGAAACCUCAAUGCUAUCAAACCCACCACUGUCUGUCAGAUGUGAAAUGUUUCGCAAAGACAUCUUUAAGUGCAAAUUAUGAUUAAAAUCUCCCAAG
Molecule: long non-coding RNA, 932 nt
Filed under: Chloebia gouldiae (Gouldian finch)
Lineage: Eukaryota; Metazoa; Chordata; Aves; Passeriformes; Passeridae
Description: Erythrura gouldiae (Gouldian finch) lncRNA (ENSEGOG00005001565.1)
Source: RNAcentral